Pseudonaja textilis is the source of this 124-nucleotide non-coding RNA. Lineage: Eukaryota; Metazoa; Chordata; Lepidosauria; Squamata; Elapidae. The record is from RefSeq and is a predicted model, not a curated record.
CUUAAAGCUAUGGGAAGCAGGUAGGCAGUGGUUAGGGCCCACAAUCACAUUUGUGAUUGGAACCACUCCUUGAGUUAUCCCACUGCUCUGAGAACAAACUGCAGGUUUAAAAAAAAUCUGGAAA